GUCUGCACUUGUCGGGGAAGGGUGAGAACCUUCGAUUAAGGUUCGACUCGAGCGAAAGCGAGAGAACGUUGCCAACGGCAACGGCCCGUAGGGUGAGGAGCGAAGCGACGAAUAAUCCUUCCCCACCACCA
This 131-nucleotide small RNA is filed under the name Salmonella enterica subsp. enterica serovar Weltevreden. Its description in RNAcentral is "RtT sRNA". It matches the Rfam family "RtT RNA". From Rfam's summary of the family: This family represents a bacterial cis-regulatory element known as RtT RNA. The exact function of RtT is unknown although it is thought that it may be involved in changing the cellular response in relation to amino acid starvation. Lineage: Bacteria; Pseudomonadati; Pseudomonadota; Gammaproteobacteria; Enterobacterales; Enterobacteriaceae. RNAcentral also lists the same sequence under 2 other names. The record is from RNAcentral.